Molecule: ribosomal RNA, 253 nt
Filed under: uncultured bacterium
Lineage: Bacteria
Description: partial 16S ribosomal RNA
Rfam family: Bacterial small subunit ribosomal RNA
Source: RNAcentral
GACGAACCGUGCGAACGUUGUUCGGAAUCACUGGGCUUAAAGGGUGCGUAGGCGGGCAUUCAAGUCAGGGGUGAAAUCCUCCAGCUUAACUGGAGAACUGCCUCUGAUACUGGAUGCCUCGAGUGAGGUAGGGGCGUGCGGAACUGAUGGUGGAGCGGUGAAAUGUGUUGAUAUCAUCAGGAACUCCGGUGGCGAAAGCGGCGCGCUGGACCUUAACUGACGCUGAGGCACGAAAGCCAGGGGAGCGAACGGG